Molecule: ribosomal RNA, 458 nt
Filed under: uncultured bacterium
Lineage: Bacteria
Description: partial 16S ribosomal RNA
Rfam family: Bacterial small subunit ribosomal RNA
Source: RNAcentral
CCUACGGGUGGCAGCAGUGAGGACUAUUGGUCAAUGGGCGAGAGCCUGAACCAGCCAAGUCGCGUGAGGGAGUACUGCCCUAUGGGUUGUAAACCUCUUUUGUCGUGGAGCAACAGCCGGACGUGUCCGGCUGUGAGAGUACACGAAGAAAAAGCAUCGGCUCACUCCGUGCCCGCAGCCGCGGUAAUACGGGGGAUGCGAGCGUUAUCCGGGUUUAUUGGGGUUUAAGGGUGCGCAGGCGGAUUUGUAAGUCAGCGGUAAAAUCGUGGGGCUCAACCCCAUCCAGCCGUUGAAACUGGGGAUCUAGAGUGUGCGAGAGGUAUGCGGAAUGCGUGGUGUAGCGGUGAAAUGCAUAGAUAUCACGCAGAACCCCGAUUGCGAAGGCAGCAUACCGGUGCACAACUGACGCUCAGGCACGAAAGCGUGGGUAUCGAACAGGAUUAGAUACCCCAGUAGUC